Molecule: small nuclear RNA, 117 nt
Filed under: Podarcis muralis (Common wall lizard)
Lineage: Eukaryota; Metazoa; Chordata; Lepidosauria; Squamata; Lacertidae
Description: U5 spliceosomal RNA (ENSPMRG00000016901.1)
Rfam family: U5 spliceosomal RNA
About the family: U5 RNA is a component of both types of known spliceosome. The precise function of this molecule is unknown, though it is known that the 5' loop is required for splice site selection and p220 binding, and that both the 3' stem-loop and the Sm site are important for Sm protein binding and cap methylation.
Source: Rfam by way of RNAcentral
UUACUCUGGUUUCCUCUUCAGAUCAUAUAAAUCUUUCACCUUUUACUGAAGAUUUCCAAGGAGAAGAACAGUUCUGAGUUUACAACUAAUUUUUUGAGGCCCCGCUUCAGUGGGGCU